CAUUUUGAUCUUUCACCUAUGGUGACCUGAGAACUUCACUUUCUGCCCCAAAUCCAAGUCAAAAUUUAACCAAAACCGACGCCGCUCGUCAUGAAACUCGCAAGACCCAUUAGGCGCCACUUCAGCACCUACACAGCCAGCCAAAAAUCAGAGCGUGUGGCCAACAACAGACCAAUCUCCUUGACUCAAAUCAAAGAGCUUCACGCACACCUUAUCAGAACCCAGCUCGACAAGGACCCGUCUUCGGUCUCAGAGGUUGUUAGAUAUUACGCACUAUCUCCUCUGUUUUUGGAGAAAGCCCUUUUAGUCUUCAAUCAAAUUGAGCAACCCACAUUGUUGAUUUGGAACCAUAUGAUCCGU
This 360-nucleotide long non-coding RNA is filed under the name Prunus persica (peach). Its description in RNAcentral is "long non-coding RNA (PPER_LNC002844)". Lineage: Eukaryota; Viridiplantae; Streptophyta; Magnoliopsida; Rosales; Rosaceae. The record is from RNAcentral.